UACGGAGGAUGCGGGCGUUAUCCGGAUUUAUUGGGUUUAAAGGGUGCGCAGGCGGCGUGUCAAGUCAGCGGUAAAAUGUCGGGGCUCAACCCCGGCCGGCCGUUGAAACUGGCGUGCUCGAGUUGGAGAGAAGUAUGCGGAAUUCGUGGUGUAGCGGUGAAAUGCGUAGAUAUUAGGAGGAACACCAGUGGCGAAGGCGGCCUACUGGACGGUGACUGACGCUGAGGCUCGAAAGCGUGGGGAGCAAACAGG
This 252-nucleotide ribosomal RNA is filed under the name uncultured Bacteroidales bacterium. RNAcentral describes it as "partial 16S ribosomal RNA". It matches the Rfam family "Bacterial small subunit ribosomal RNA", at positions 524 to 776 of the family's 1533-position model. The record is from RNAcentral. Lineage: Bacteria; Pseudomonadati; Bacteroidota; Bacteroidia; Bacteroidales.